RNAcentral lists this ribosomal RNA (376 nucleotides) under uncultured organism. RNAcentral's name for it is "bacterial SSU rRNA". It matches the Rfam family "Archaeal small subunit ribosomal RNA", at positions 476 to 851 of the family's 1478-position model. The record is from RNAcentral.
CCUGCAGCCCGAGUGGUGGCCGUUAUUAUUGGGCCUAAAACGUCCGUAGCCGGUUUGGUAGAUGCCUGUGUAAAUCGAACGGCUUAACCGUUCGAACUGCGGGUAGACCGCCAGACUUGGGACCGGGAGAGUCACGAAGUACUCCGGGGGUAGAGGUGAAAUUCUGUAAUCCUCGGGGGACUACCGGUGGCCAAGGCGUCGUGAUAGAACGGCUCCGACGGUGAGGGACGAAGCCCUGGGGCGCAAACCGGAUUAGAUACCCGGGUAGUCCAGGGUGUAAACGCUGCGGUCUUGGUGUCGGCAGUCCUACGGGGGGCAGCCGGUGCCGGAGAGAAGUUGUUAAGACCGCUGCCUGGGGAGUACGGCCGCAAGGUUG